AGCUACUUGCCUUCCCAGCUAACAGAGGUUUUCUGGACGCCAUUGGCCAUCCUCCAGUAAAGAGAAAAGAAAAAGAUGGAUGCAGUGGAAUCUCAGUGUCAGAAGCUUCUGGCAGGGUGUUGCUGAGCUGUCUUCUUGUGGAGUACUUGUGCCCUGAUUGUCUCAGCCUUAGAUCUGGAGAUUGUUGAAGAAAGUCCGAGGCCAUGGAGUCAGUGACCCUCAGGAUAACGUGGGAUCUGGGUUUGCCUGAUAUUUCUCACCAUGAUUCCUGGUGGUGUUUGUGGAAACCAGAGAGGCACAGAGUGGAGAUUGAGGCUGCCAGAUGAAGCAUCACCAGGGCUCUCUCCUGCUGGCUCAGAGCAUCAUGAAACAACUGUCAUUCUGCACAAGAGAUCAGAGAAAAAGUGCUGAGGCUGUGGGCUUGGGGUCCAGACAUUGGAGAUACUACAGCUGGUUCUGGAUUGGGACAACAGUGCCCCAGAGGGACAGUCUUGUGUCCCUCUGCCCACACCUACAAUGCCUUUUUAAUAAGCAAGAGUUUCUCUCUUGGAUUUGUAGCCCUUUUCAUCAUUGUCCUCUCCUCCUGUCCAUUCAAUAAACAGACUUGCUUUUUGAAUCAGUAA
Molecule: long non-coding RNA, 623 nt
Organism: Choloepus didactylus (southern two-toed sloth)
Lineage: Eukaryota; Metazoa; Chordata; Mammalia; Pilosa; Megalonychidae
Exons: 4
Source: RefSeq, a predicted model, not a curated record